UACGGGGGGGGCAAGCGUUGUUCGGAAUUACUGGGCGUAAAGGGCUUGUAGGUGGCCAACUAAGUCAGACGUGAAAUCCCUCGGCUUAACCGGGGAACUGCGUCUGAUACUGGAUGGCUUGAGUGUGGGAGAGGGAUGCGGAAUUCCAGGUGUAGCGGUGAAAUGCGUAGAUAUCUGGAGGAACACCGGUGGCGAAGGCGGCAUCCUGGACCGACACUGACGCUGAGGCGCGAAAGCGUGGGGAGCAAACAGG
Molecule: ribosomal RNA, 253 nt
Filed under: uncultured bacterium
Lineage: Bacteria
Description: partial 16S ribosomal RNA
Rfam family: Bacterial small subunit ribosomal RNA
Source: RNAcentral